RNAcentral lists this ribosomal RNA (651 nucleotides) under uncultured Boletales. RNAcentral's name for it is "eukaryotic LSU rRNA". The stretch from base 241 to 395 matches the Rfam family "5.8S ribosomal RNA". The record is from RNAcentral. Lineage: Eukaryota; Fungi; Basidiomycota; Agaricomycetes; Boletales.
UAGAGGAAGUAAAAGUCGUACCAAGGUUCCCGUAGGUGAACCUNGCGGAAGGAUCAUUAUUAAAACUUCUCUAUCCGUCUCUCUCACCUUUGUGCACUCGUUGUAGUUCCUUUGAGGGGAACUAUGUAUCUUUCUAUCUAUUGUAUGGAUUAAAGAAUGUUUCAAUAUUAACUCAUGUUCUUCGGAGUUCCGAUCUUCCGAACUUCCGAUGAGCAUUGAGGAAAAUGUUAAUGAAAAUACAACUUUCAGCAAUGGAUCUCUUGGCUCUCGCAUCGAUGAAGAACGCAGCGAAUCGCGAUAAGUAAUGUGAAUUGCAGAUUUUCCGUGAAUCAUCGAAUCUUUGAACGCAUCUUGCGCUCCAUGGUAUUCCAAGGAGCAUGCCUGUUUGAGUGUCGUUUGAAUAUUCUCAAAUUCCGAGGUUUUGAUUUCGGAAUUUGGAUUUGGGAGUUUAAUUGCGGGCAUGAUUAUUGUUAAUCGAGUCGGCUCUCCUGAAAAGCAUUAGCUAGGUUGGCCCAAUUUGCAUGACAUUUUCUGGCCUUUCCAACGUUGUACUACUUCGUUGUAGGCUGGAAAAAAGAUAGUGUCAAAGUUUGGCUACUAGCUUCUAAAAUACAACUACAUUUGCCAAUUCGACCUCAAAUCAGGUAGGAC